UGCUUGAGGAACACCUCUGUAGAUUCCACACUGCAAGAAGGAUGUGUUGAAGAACACAGAAAGUAACCAGAUGAAAAACAAGAAGGAGAAGGGAACUCUGUGUCAACAAUGAUGACUCUGGAAGAGAAAGGUGGAUAAUAGUUGAUUACAUAGGAGGCAUCCAAAGGAAGAAUUUGUCUUCGGGAUCAUGACAGGAAUGUCAAGAAGAUAUACUAUUGAAAAUGGAAAAGGGCAGUGGAUCAAAGUGGAGAAGAUAUUUAACAAGGAUAAAUGGAUGCAGCGGAGGGAGAAAAAUUAAGACCAACUACCAAGUGCACUGUUGUGAAGUUGUAAUGCACUGUGGAAGGAAGAAUUCCCAGGGGAAUUCUGAGAAGUCACUCUUACAAGUCAGG
Molecule: long non-coding RNA, 392 nt
Organism: Myotis brandtii (Brandt's bat)
Lineage: Eukaryota; Metazoa; Chordata; Mammalia; Chiroptera; Vespertilionidae
Exons: 3
Source: RefSeq, a predicted model, not a curated record